Molecule: ribosomal RNA, 492 nt
Filed under: uncultured bacterium
Lineage: Bacteria
Description: partial 16S ribosomal RNA
Rfam family: Bacterial small subunit ribosomal RNA
Source: RNAcentral
AGUGAACGCUGGCGGUAGGCCUAACACAUGCAAGUCGAACGGCAGCACAGUAAGAGCUUGCUCUUACGGGUGGCGAGUGGCGGACGGGUGAGGAAUACAUCGGAAUCUACUUUUUCGUGGGGGAUAACGUAGGGAAACUUGCGCUAAUACCGCAUACGACCUACGGGUGAAAGCAGGGGAUCUUCGGACCUUGCGCGAUUGAAUGAGCCGAUGUCGGAUUAGCUAGUUGGCGGGGUAAAGGCCCACCAAGGCGACGAUCCGUAGAUGGUCUGAGAGGAUGAUCAGCCACACUAGAACUGAGACACGGUCCAGACUCCUACGGGAGGCAGCAGUGGGGAAUAUUGGACAAUGGGCGCAAGCCUGAUCCAGCCAUACCGCGUGGGUGAAGAAGGCCUUCGGGUUGUAAAGCCCUUUUGUUGGGAAAGAAAAGCAGCAGGUUAAUACCCCGCUGUUCUGACGGUACCCAAAGAAUAAGCACCGGCUAACUUCGUG